This 595-nucleotide ribosomal RNA is filed under the name uncultured Pseudomonas sp. Its description in RNAcentral is "bacterial SSU rRNA". It matches the Rfam family "Bacterial small subunit ribosomal RNA", at positions 125 to 715 of the family's 1533-position model. The record is from RNAcentral. Lineage: Bacteria; Pseudomonadati; Pseudomonadota; Gammaproteobacteria; Pseudomonadales; Pseudomonadaceae.
UCUGCCUGGUAGUGGGGGAUAACGUCCGGAAACCGGCGCUAAUACCGCAUACGUCCUGAGGGAGAAAGUGGGGGAUCUUCGGACCUCACGCUAUCAGAUGAGCCUAGGUCGGAUUAGCUAGUUGGUGGGGUAAAGGCCUACCAAGGCGACGAUCCGUAACUGGUCUGAGAGGAUGAUCAGUCACACUGGAACUGAGACACGGUCCAGACUCCUACGGGAGGCAGCAGUGGGGAAUAUUGGACAAUGGGCGAAAGCCUGAUCCAGCCAUGCCGCGUGUGUGAAGAAGGUCUUCGGAUUGUAAAGCACUUUAAGUUGGGAGGAAGGGCAGUAAGUUAAUACCUUGCUGUUUUGACGUUACCAACAGAAUAAGCACCGGCUAACUUCGUGCCAGCAGCCGCGGUAAUACGAAGGGUGCAAGCGUUAAUCGGAAUUACUGGGCGUAAAGCGCGCGUAGGUGGUUCAGCAAGUUGGAUGUGAAAUCCCCGGGCUCAACCUGGGAACUGCAUCCAAAACUACUGAGCUAGAGUACGGUAGAGGGUGGUGGAAUUUCCUGUGUAGCGGUGAAAUGCGUAGAUAUAGGAAGGAACACCAGUGG